UUAUAUAUUAAAAAUAAAGCCGGAUAGUACAAAUAAAAUUUUAAACCUAAAGAUCUUGGCGGUGCUUUAUCUAACCAAGGGAACCUGUUACUUAAUUCGAUAAUCCACGUAUAUAAAAACCAUUAUUAGAACAAUCAGUCUGUGUACUGCCGUCGUAUGUAUACCUUAAAAAGAUAUUAUACAAGAAUAAUUAAAUUAAAUAUGUCAGGUCAUAGUACAGCUAAUGAAAUGGUGAAUAUGGGUUACAUUCAAAAACUAGUAGCCAAAAUAAAAUUAAUAAUUUUAUAAAAAGAUGGACUUGGAAGUAAUUACAAUAAUAGAAUUGUUAUGAAAAUAGAAUCUGAAGCAUGCACAUAUCGCCCGUCACUCCCAUCC
This 375-nucleotide ribosomal RNA is filed under the name Rhyacodrilus falciformis. RNAcentral describes it as "partial 12S ribosomal RNA". Lineage: Eukaryota; Metazoa; Annelida; Clitellata; Tubificida; Naididae. The record is from RNAcentral.